AAUAGCGGACGUCAGCAUCGUCAGCAUCGUGAGAAAUGUUGGAACAUCGCAGCACACCACUGGCCAAGAAAUACUAUUCGGUGAUGGAAGAACCACAUGCCGAGGACUUAUCCUUCACCUGACAAACAAUAACACCAACCAUGCACAUAGAGUACUAGAGAAUACUGGACUAUGGAAGUUUCCUGAAAUGAAGGUUGUUGUGAUUGGUGAGACGACAGGAAUGAAAACGGUUCUUCUCCAUCAAAGCUUUCGUAAUACCAUUCACAUUCUCUAUAUAGCUCUUCACUAUCAGACCAAAAUUAUCACAACAGACCCUGAGACACGAGUUAAAUUCACCCUCCACAUCUUGAAAGAAGGCCUACAACUAGAGCGUGUCAGUGUUUAUCGGAAGUGCCUUUACUGUGACGAUGGGAAGGCAAGUGUUCGCUUUAUCCAAUCAAAUAUCAGCUCACAUGAUUCCCUGUUUGAUGGUAA
Molecule: long non-coding RNA, 474 nt
Organism: Scylla paramamosain (green mud crab)
Lineage: Eukaryota; Metazoa; Arthropoda; Malacostraca; Decapoda; Portunidae
Exons: 3
Source: RefSeq, a predicted model, not a curated record